GACGAACGCUGGCGGCGUGCUUAACACAUGCAAGUCGAACGGAAAGGCCCUGCUUUUGUGGGGUUCUCGAUUGGCGAACGGGUGAGUAACACGUGAGUAACCUGCCCUUGACUUUGUGAUAACUUCAGGAAACUGGGGCUAAUACCGGAUAGGAGCUCCUGCUCCAUGUGGGGGGUUGGAAAGUUUCGGCGGUUGGGGAUGGACUCGCGGCUUAUCAGCUUGUUGGUGGGGUAGUGGCUUACCGAGGCUUUGACGGGUAGCCGGCCUGAGAGGGUGACCGGCGACAUUGGGACUGAGAGACGGCCCAGACUGCUACGGGAGGCAGCAGUGGGGAAUAUUGCACAAUGGGCGGAAGCCUGAUGCAGCAACGCCGCGUGCGGGAUGACGGCCUUCGGGUUGUAAACCGCUUUCGCCUGUGACGAAGCGUGAGUGACGGUAAUGGGUAAAGAAGCACCGGCUAACUACGUG
Molecule: ribosomal RNA, 468 nt
Filed under: uncultured bacterium
Lineage: Bacteria
Description: partial 16S ribosomal RNA
Rfam family: Bacterial small subunit ribosomal RNA
Source: RNAcentral